UACGUAUGGUGCAAGCGUUAUCCGGAUUUACUGGGUGUAAAGGGUGCGUAGGUGGCAUGGCAAGUCAGAAGUGAAAGGCCGGGGCUCAACCCCGGGACUGCAUUGGAAACUGUUGUACUGGAGUACAGGAGAGGUAAGCGGAAUUCCUAGUGUAGCGGUGAAAUGCGUAGAUAUUAGGAGGAACACCAGUGGCGAAGGCGGCUUGCUGGGCUUUUACUGACGCUGAGGCUCGAAAGCGUGGGGAGCAA
RNAcentral lists this ribosomal RNA (248 nucleotides) under uncultured Ruminococcus sp. RNAcentral's name for it is "partial 16S ribosomal RNA". It matches the Rfam family "Bacterial small subunit ribosomal RNA", at positions 524 to 771 of the family's 1533-position model. Lineage: Bacteria; Bacillati; Bacillota; Clostridia; Eubacteriales; Oscillospiraceae. The record is from RNAcentral.